CUUUGCUGUAGAGUGUGACUGCCAGUAGUUAAAAUUUUGCUUGACAGAGGAAGCUGCUUCUUGGAUUAUAAGGACGUGUUUCAAUGUAUGCGUACAGCCUGUUCUACACUUGAUGCUGGGGAUUUUGCAUGACUUUCAUAGAGAGCAAUAACUUUUAUUUUACUUUCCAGAGACAGACAUCCACAUGCUGUUUUGUAAGGAUACACAUAACCACUGGAUAUAACCAUGUUUUUGUGGCUAGAACUCUUGGUGUUUGGCUUGGCUCUUGUGGACAUGGAAGUUUUCAUAAAUGGCCAAUCAACACCACCACAAACAACAUCUAUUAUGAAAACAACAAAUGAUGAUGGGCAUACUUUCUUUACUCCAACCACUGGCACUGCAACAAGCAUCUCUUCAGCUCUCCCAAACACCACCUCAAUAGAUACACAAAAACUUUGUGACACUAUUCAGCAUUCUGAGAACUUUACAAAGGAUCGUCAUGCUGCAAAUCUUGCGUUUCAUGGAUCAUUAGAUUUGCUGAAUGUUACCUGCAAUUCUUGUGAUUGGAAAAAAGAGACCAAUACUUUGUCUCAUCUGACAGAAUGCCAAACCUAUAACAUAACCGCAAAGUUCAGCAAAGAUUGCAAGAAAUCUUUUUCCAUUAAUGUUCCCAUUUCUGAUAACAAGCAAUUGAAUGCAACCUCCACUAAUACUACAAUAACUUUAUUUUGGGACACAGAUGAUAAUUGUGAAUUGAAAUAUUCAUAUUGCUGUUUCCAAAAGGGUAGGAUUUUUUUUAAGCAAUCAGUUGGCAUUUGAUCUAAAAUUAAUGGGGAAAUCAACAAGU
This 826-nucleotide long non-coding RNA is filed under the name Naja naja (Indian cobra). RNAcentral describes it as "lncRNA (ENSNNAG00000005884.1)". The record is from RNAcentral. Lineage: Eukaryota; Metazoa; Chordata; Lepidosauria; Squamata; Elapidae.